UACGUAGGGGGCAAGCGUUAUCCGGAUUUACUGGGUGUAAAGGGAGCGUAGGUGGAUUGUUAAGUCAGUUGUGAAAGUUUGCGGCUCAACCGUAAAAUUGCAGUUGAAACUGGCAGUCUUGAGUACAGUAGAGGUGGGCGGAAUUCGUGGUGUAGCGGUGAAAUGCUUAGAUAUCACGAAGAACUCCGAUUGCGAAGGCAGCUCACUAGACUGUCACUGACACUGAUGCUCGAAAGUGUGGGUAUCAAACAGGAUUAGAUACCCUGGUAGUCCACACAGUAAACGAUGAAUACUCGCUGUUUGCGAUAUACAGUAAGCGGCCAAGCGAAAGCAUUAAGUAUUCCACCUGGGGAGUACGCCGGCAACGGUGAA
Molecule: ribosomal RNA, 372 nt
Filed under: uncultured bacterium
Lineage: Bacteria
Description: bacterial SSU rRNA
Rfam family: Bacterial small subunit ribosomal RNA
Source: RNAcentral